UACGUAGGGUCCAAGCGUUGUCCGGAUUUAUUGGGCGUAAAGAGCUCGUAGGUGGUUCAGUAAGUCGGAUGUGAAAACUCGGGGCUCAACCCCGAGACGCCAUCCGAUACUGCUGUGACUUGAGUCUGGUAGGGGAGAUCGGAAUUCCUGGUGUAGCGGUGAAAUGCGCAGAUAUCAGGAGGAACACCGGUGGCGAAGGCGGAUCUCUGGGCCAGUACUGACACUGAGGAGCGAAAGCGUGGGUAGCAAA
This 250-nucleotide ribosomal RNA is filed under the name uncultured bacterium. RNAcentral describes it as "partial 16S ribosomal RNA". It matches the Rfam family "Bacterial small subunit ribosomal RNA", at positions 524 to 772 of the family's 1533-position model. The record is from RNAcentral.